This 1520-nucleotide ribosomal RNA is filed under the name Corynebacteriaceae (Coryneform bacteria). RNAcentral's name for it is "bacterial SSU rRNA". It matches the Rfam family "Bacterial small subunit ribosomal RNA". Lineage: Bacteria; Bacillati; Actinomycetota; Actinomycetes; Mycobacteriales. The record is from RNAcentral.
AGAGUUUGAUCCUGGCUCAGGAUGAACGCUGGCGGCGUGCUUAACACAUGCAAGUCGAACGAUGAAGCUUCUCUGUUUGCAGGGGGGUGGAUUAGUGGCGAACGGGUGAGUAUCACGUGAGUAACCUGCCCUUGACUCUGGGAUAAGCCUGGGAAACUGGGUCUAAUACUGGAUAGGACCAUUGGCCGCAUGGUUGGUGGUGGAAAGAUUUUAUCGGUCUUGGAUGGGCUCGCGGCCUAUCAGUUUGACGGUGGGGUAGUGGCCUACCGUGGCUUUGACGGGUAGCCGGCCUGAGAGGGUGACCGGUCACACUGGGACUGAGACACGGCCCAGACUCCUACGGGAGGCAGCAGUGGGGAAUAUUGCACAAUGGGCGCAAGCCUGAUGCAGCGACGCCGCGUGCGGGAUGACGGCCUUCGGGUUGUAAACCGCUUUCAGUACAGAACAAGGGCAUCUUUUGGUGUUUGAGGGUAUGUGCAGAAGAAGCACCGGCUAACUACGUGCCAGCAGCCGCGGUAAUACGUAGGGUGCGAGCGUUAUCCGGAAUUAUUGGGCGUAAAGGGCUCGUAGGCGGUUUGUCACGUCUGCUGUGAAAGCCCGGGGCUUAACUCCGGGUGUGCAGUGGGUACGGGCUUACUGGAGUGCAGUAGGGGAGACUGGAAUUCCUGGUGUAGCGGUGAAAUGCGCAGAUAUCAGGAGGAACACCGAUGGCGAAGGCAGGUCUCUGGGCUGUUACUGACGCUGAGGAGCGAAAGCAUGGGGAGCGAACAGGAUUAGAUACCCUGGUAGUCCAUGCCGUAAACGUUGGGCACUAGGUGUGGGGGACAUUCCACGUUUUCCGCGCCGUAGCUAACGCAUUAAGUGCCCCGCCUGGGGAGUACGGCCGCAAGGCUAAAACUCAAAGGAAUUGACGGGGGCCCGCACAAGCGGCGGAGCAUGCGGAUUAAUUCGAUGCAACGCGAAGAACCUUACCAAGGCUUGACAUGGACUGGAUCGCCGUAGAGAUACGGUUUCCCUUCGGGGCUGGUUUCACAGGUGGUGCAUGGUUGUCGUCAGCUCGUGUCGUGAGAUGUUGGGUUAAGUCCCGCAACGAGCGCAACCCUUGUCCUAUGUUGCCAGCACGUUGUGGUGGGGACUCAUGGGAGACUGCCGGGGUCAACUCGGAGGAAGGUGGGGAUGACGUCAAAUCAUCAUGCCCCUUAUGUCUUGGGCUUCACGCAUGCUACAAUGGCCGGUACAGUGGGUUGCGAUGCCGUGAGGUUUAGCUAAUCCCUAAAAGCCGGUCUCAGUUCGGAUCGAAGUCUGCAACUCGACUUCGUGAAGUUGGAGUCGCUAGUAAUCGCAGAUCAGCAAUGCUGCGGUGAAUACGUUCCCGGGCCUUGUACACACCGCCCGUCAAGUCACGAAAGUUGGUAACACCCGAAGCCCACGGCCCAACCUUUUUGGGGGGAGUGGUCGAAGGUGGGACUGGCGAUUGGGACUAAGUCGUAACAAGGUAGCCGUACCGGAAGGUGCGGCUG